AUUGAACGCUGGCGGCAUGCCUUACACAUGCAAGUCGAACGGUAACAGGUCUUCGGAUGCUGACGAGUGGCGAACGGGUGCGUAAUACUUCCGAACGUGCCCAGACGCUGUGGAUCACGAGUCGCAAGCUUUGCUAAUACCUCAUACGAUCUAAGGUUUAGAGCCGGGGACUGCAAGGGUUUGUGCGUUUGUAGCUGCCGAUGGUAGAUUAGGUAGUUGGUGGGAUAAAAGCUUACCAAGCCGACGAUUUCUAGCUGGUCUGAGAGGACGACCAGCCACACUGGAACUGAGACACGGCCCAGACUCCUACGGGAGGCAGCAGUGGGGAAUUUUGGACAAUGGGCGAAAGCCUGAUGGAGCAACGCCGCGUGCAGGAUGAAGGCCUUCGGAUUGUAAACUGCUUUUAUAAGGAAAGAACAGGCGCGGGCGAAUACGUGGGGAACAUGACGGUACCGAAAGAGUAAGCAACGGCUAACUACGUG
Molecule: ribosomal RNA, 482 nt
Filed under: uncultured bacterium
Lineage: Bacteria
Description: partial 16S ribosomal RNA
Rfam family: Bacterial small subunit ribosomal RNA
Source: RNAcentral